This 433-nucleotide ribosomal RNA is filed under the name uncultured bacterium. RNAcentral's name for it is "partial 16S ribosomal RNA". It matches the Rfam family "Bacterial small subunit ribosomal RNA", at positions 29 to 507 of the family's 1533-position model. The record is from RNAcentral.
AACGAACGCUGGCGGCAUGCCUAACACAUGCAAGUCGAACGAGACCUUCGGGUCUAGUGGCGCACGGGUGCGUAACGCGUGGGAACCUGCCCUUAGGUUCGGAAUAACUCCCCGAAAGGGGUGCUAAUACCGGAUAAUGUCUUCGGACCAAAGAUUUAUCGCCUUUGGGUGGGCCCGCGUUGGAUUAGCUAGUUGGUAGGGUAAAGGCCUACCAAGGCGACGAUCCAUAGCUGGUCUGAGAGGAUGAUCAGCCACACUGGGACUGAGACACGGCCCAGGACUCUUCCGGAAGGAGCAAGUGGGAAUAUUGGACAAUGGGCGAAAGCCUGAUCCAGCAAUGCCGCGUGAGUGAUGAAGGCCUUAGGGUUGUAAAGCUCUUUUACCCGGGAUGAUAAUGACAGUACCGGGAGAAUAAGCUCCGGCUAACUCCGUG